RNAcentral lists this ribosomal RNA (429 nucleotides) under Gemmatimonadota bacterium. RNAcentral's name for it is "Gemmatimonadetes bacterium partial 16S ribosomal RNA". It matches the Rfam family "Bacterial small subunit ribosomal RNA", at positions 355 to 776 of the family's 1533-position model. The record is from RNAcentral. Lineage: Bacteria; Pseudomonadati; Gemmatimonadota.
UAGGGAAUCUUCGGCAAUGGACGAAAGUCUGACCGAGCAACGCCGCGUGAGUGAAGAAGGUUUUCGGAUCGUAAAACUCUGUUGUUAGAGAAGAACAAGGACGUUAGUAACUGAACGUCCCCUGACGGUAUCUAACCAGAAAGCCACGGCUAACUACGUGCCAGCAGCCGCGGUAAUACGUAGGUGGCAAGCGUUGUCCGGAUUUAUUGGGCGUAAAGCGAGCGCAGGCGGUUUCUUAAGUCUGAUGUGAAAGCCCCCGGCUCAACCGGGGAGGGUCAUUGGAAACUGGGAGACUUGAGUGCGGAAGAGGAGAGUGGAAUUCCAUGUGUAGCGGUGAAAUGCGUAGAUAUAUGGAGGAACACCAGUGGCGAAGGCGGCUCUCUAGUCUAUAACUGACGCUGAGGCUCGAAAGCGUGGGGAGCAAACAGG